This 305-nucleotide ribosomal RNA is filed under the name uncultured bacterium. RNAcentral's name for it is "bacterial SSU rRNA". It matches the Rfam family "Bacterial small subunit ribosomal RNA", at positions 338 to 658 of the family's 1533-position model. The record is from RNAcentral.
CCUACGGGGGGCAGCGGUGGGGAAUAUUGGGCAAUGGGCGCAAGCCUGACCCAGCAACGCCGCGUGAAGGAAGAAGGCUUUCAGGUUGUAAACUUCUUUUCUGAGGGACGAAGAAAGUGACGGUACCUCAGGAAUAAGCCACGGCUAACUACGUGCCAGCAGCCGCGGUAAUACGUAGGUGGCAAGCGUUAUCCGGAUUUAUUGGGUUUAAAGGGUGCGCAGGCGGCGUGUCAAGUCAGCGGUAAAAUGUCGGGGCUCAACCCCGGCCGGCCGUUGAAACUGGCGUGCUCGAGUUGGAGAGAAGG